This 305-nucleotide unclassified non-coding RNA is filed under the name plant metagenome. RNAcentral describes it as "partial contains 5.8S ribosomal RNA, internal transcribed spacer 2, and large subunit ribosomal RNA". The stretch from base 1 to 105 matches the Rfam family "5.8S ribosomal RNA", at positions 50 to 154 of the family's 154-position model. The record is from RNAcentral.
GAAAUGCGAUAAGUAAUGUGAAUUGCAGAAUUCAGUGAAUCAUCGAAUCUUUGAACGCACAUUGCGCCCGCCAGUAUUCUGGCGGGCAUGCCUGUUCGAGCGUCAUUUCAACCAUCAAGCCCCGGGCUUGUGUUGGGGACCUGCGGCUGCCGCAGGCCCUGAAAACCAGUGGCGGGCUCGCUGUCACACUGAGCGUAGUAGAUUCUCAUCUCGCUCAGGGCGUGCUGCGGGUUCCGGCCGUAAAACAGCCUUAUUUUACCCAAGGUUGACCUCGGAUCAGGUAGGAAGACCCGCUGAACUUAAGC